CAGGAUGAACGCUAGCGACAGGCCUAACACAUGCAAGUCAGGGGCAGCACAAGGAGCAAUCUGAGGUGGCGACCGGCGCACGGGUGAGUAACACGUAUGCAACCUGCCUGUAAGCGGGGAAUAACCCGUUGAAAGACGGACUAAUACCGCAUAAUACUAAAUUACUGCAUGGUAAUUUAUUUAAACAUUUAUGGCUUACAGAUGGGCAUGCGCAUGAUUAGCUAGUUGGAGAGGUAACGGCUCCCCAAGGCAACGAUCAUUAGGGGUUCUGAGAGGAAGGUCCCCCACACUGGUACUGAGACACGGACCAGACUCCUACGGGAGGCAGCAGUGAGGAAUAUUGGUCAAUGGACGAGAGUCUGAACCAGCCAAGUCGCGUGCAGGAAGAAUGUCCUUAAUGGAUUGUAAACUGCUUUUGCAGGGGGAAUAGAGUGCAUCACGUGUGAUGUUUUGUAUGUACUCUGCGAAUAAGGAUCGGCUAACUCCGUGCCAGCCGCCGC
RNAcentral lists this ribosomal RNA (500 nucleotides) under uncultured bacterium. RNAcentral's name for it is "bacterial SSU rRNA". It matches the Rfam family "Bacterial small subunit ribosomal RNA", at positions 25 to 518 of the family's 1533-position model. The record is from RNAcentral.